RNAcentral lists this ribosomal RNA (389 nucleotides) under Yarrowia lipolytica. Its description in RNAcentral is "partial 28S ribosomal RNA". It matches the Rfam family "Eukaryotic large subunit ribosomal RNA", at positions 101 to 507 of the family's 3401-position model. The record is from RNAcentral. Lineage: Eukaryota; Fungi; Ascomycota; Dipodascomycetes; Dipodascales.
GCAAAAGCUCAAAUUUGAAACCUUCGGGAUUGUAAUUUGAAGAUUUGGCAUUGGAGAAAGCUAACCCAAGUUGCUUGGAAUAGUACGUCAUAGAGGGUGACAACCCCGUCUGGCUAACCGUUCUCCAUGUAUUGCCUUAUCAAAGAGUCGAGUUGUUUGGGAAUGCAGCUCAAAGUGGGUGGUAAACUCCAUCUAAAGCUAAAUACUGGUGAGAGACCGAUAGCGAACAAGUACUGUGAAGGAAAGGUGAAAAGAACUUUGAAAAGAGAGUGAAAUAGUAUGUGAAAUUGUUGAUAGGGAAGGAAAUGAGUGGAGAGUGGUUGAGGUUUCAGCUUGCCUUUGGGUAGGUGUAUUGCCAACGCCGAGUCAUUGACAGCGAGACGGCGGUU